This is a long non-coding RNA of Micropterus salmoides (largemouth bass), 636 nucleotides long. RefSeq lists it as uncharacterized. The transcript has 3 exons. The record is from RefSeq and is a predicted model, not a curated record. NCBI's taxonomy places the organism in Eukaryota, Metazoa, Chordata, Actinopteri, Centrarchiformes, Centrarchidae.
CAGCCCCAAAUCUAAAGGAACGGUUUCAGAUUAAAGUGGAUGCCAGUAAUAUGGGUGCUGGGGCUGUGCUGCUGCAAACACAUCUGGUGCAUCUUGCAUUGAAAGAACCCAAACCAGCGUUUGAUGAGAUGGUGUUUGUUCUUACAGCCUUUCCAUCUUGAUGUUCGGCACAUUAAAGGUACCAAGUAGCUGAGUGGGAGUCGGUAAGCGGGAAUUAUGUGAAUGAGGUAAUUGUCCAGAGAAGCCAUUUUCAUGUGAUUGCCUAUACUUAAGGUAAAUUGUAAACUCUAACUUUAAGAUUUGAAUGUAAUUAGUGCUCCAUAAGAAUCUCUUUUUUUUUUUUUACGGCGGUGGCUGUGGUUGUCUGUGUUGUGCUGGUUUUGUGUUUGUGUGUUCCAGGCUGUCUAUAGGCGGAGCCAAAGCCUGAGUCGUCAGGAGAUGUGGCUCACCUGUUCAUCCUGGCUUAGACGUAUUUAAGACAGCAGCCAACUCUGCUCUGGUCUUUUGUUUCCUGUCAUGCACCACCCCAUGGACACGCCAACUCCUCAUUUGUGACUUAUUAUGUAGCUUUUCCUUUAGUGCUCACUGCAUACACUCCUGACACUCCUGACACUCCUGAUUUCUGACGUUUGCCUU